This 724-nucleotide long non-coding RNA is filed under the name Callithrix jacchus (white-tufted-ear marmoset). RNAcentral's name for it is "lncRNA (ENSCJAG00000087319.1)". Lineage: Eukaryota; Metazoa; Chordata; Mammalia; Primates; Cebidae. The record is from RNAcentral.
UCUGGCUCUUGAAAGUUCUCUUGACUGGGUGCGGUGGCUCAAGCCUGUAAUCCCAGCACUUUGGGAGGCCGAGGUGGGUGGAUCACGAGGUCAAGAGAUCGAGACCAUCCUGGUCAACGAGCAUGGAAGAAGGAACUAACAAAUGAUGUCCUUGUAGAAGAGUAAUGUCUCCUGACAAUGUUCUCUUUAGUCCAUGAUGUGGGAUAAGAGGAGGUUUUACUGAUUAUGAGGCAACAGACAUAAGGAGGAAAAACAUUUUCAAAGAUAAGAAUACCAUGAUAAUAGAAGUCUUGAUUUGUGAUCUUGGGAAAAGCUGUUCACAUGAAGAAUGUCAUCUUCUUCUGGAGAGAAACUUUCUCAACAAACAAACUGAAAAAAAAUCAAUCACCAUUCCACAGCAUGCUCUACAAGUUUUAGGGUUCCUACGAGGCUACGGAAUUGAGUGUGAUAACUGAUCUAAAAGGCAAGAUUAAUAAACUGAGGCAAACAGAAACUAAGUAACUUGGAAAAUAAAUGAGUAAAGAAAUAAAAUGCAUGCGACCUGUUAUGGAUUAUAAGAAUAUGUCUCAUGUUUUACAUACAGAGAAAUAAAUCUGAGAUUUCAGUCAGUACUUCACAGACUUAUACUAAUAUACCAGUCAUAAUGAGAGGAUAGGUAGUAAAUUAUUGCAGAGAAAAAUAAAAUGGAUUAAGGGAGAUUGGGACACUUCUAUGUGUAGGUGUG